UAAAAGAUAAGCUAAAUUUAAGCUAGUGGGUUCAUACCUCAUUUAUGGAUAAGAUAUUCCUCUUUUUA
This 68-nucleotide transfer RNA is filed under the name Tettigotoma maculata. Its description in RNAcentral is "tRNA-Met". The record is from RNAcentral. Lineage: Eukaryota; Metazoa; Arthropoda; Insecta; Hemiptera; Cicadidae.